UAGCUCAAAAUAAUUAGUAAAUGCAUGAAAAAUAACAAAUGAAGUCAGAAAGGAUUGAAAAAUGAUGAUGUGGCUUUGAAUGGUGCAUUUUGAACACACAAAAAGUCAGGAGUUCAAAUUAGGUUUAAAAAAUGAAAUCCCUUUGUAACACACGAGUUUCCGGAUGAAAUCCUGAUACUUUGAAAGAGAUUGUCCGUUUUGUACACGAAGUGCAUCCAGUUUUUGCCGUAACCCUCUCAACUUUCUUGCACAUGCUAUGUGGAUGAAAUGAUGAUAUCAUGCCAACUUUCAACCUUUUCAGAGUUCAUUUGAAAUGCUUUUCAAUUUUAGGGUCUUAUAGUUCAAAAUAAUUAGUAAAUGCAUGAAAAAUAACAAAUGAAGUCAGAAAGGAUUGAAAAAUGAUGAUGUGGCUUUGAAUGGUGCAUUUUGAACACACAAAAAGUCAGGAGUUCAAAUUAGGUUUAAAAAUGAAAUCCCUUUGUAACACACGAGUUUCCGGAUGAAAUUUAAACUAUUCAAAUUUGGAAACUAAUGGAUUAACAGAAAGUUUAUAAUUAUUCUGAGCUAAAAGCAAAAAGAAUAAAAAAAUAAAGCAAAAAUCAAAAGAAAAUAAAUAAUUCAAAAAACAAAAAAA
RNAcentral lists this long non-coding RNA (634 nucleotides) under Triticum aestivum (bread wheat). RNAcentral describes it as "long non-coding RNA (TAES_LNC000916)". The record is from RNAcentral. Lineage: Eukaryota; Viridiplantae; Streptophyta; Magnoliopsida; Poales; Poaceae.